GACGAACGCUGGCGGCGUGCUUAACACAUGCAAGUCGAACGGUGAAGCGCCUUCCUUUUUGGUGGGUGUGGAUGAGUGGCGAACGGGUGAGUAACACGUGAGUAACCUGCCCCCUUCUUCUGGAUAACCGCAUGAAAGUGUGGCUAAUACGGGAUAUUCUGGGUCUGUCGCAUGAUGGGUCUGGGAAAGAUAUUGUUUCGGUGGGGGAUGGGCUCGCGGCCUAUCAGCUUGUUGGUGGGGUGAUGGCCUACCAAGGCGGUGACGGGUAGCCGGCCUGAGAGGGUGGACGGUCACACUGGGACUGAGACACGGCCCAGACUCCUACGGGAGGCAGCAGUGGGGAAUAUUGCACAAUGGGCGCAAGCCUGAUGCAGCGACGCCGCGUGAGGGAUGGAGGCCGUCGGGUUGUGAACCUCUUUCGCCAGUGAAGCAGGCCUGCCUAGUUUGUGGGUGGGUUGACGGUAGCUGGAUAAGAAGCGCCGGCUAACUACGUG
Molecule: ribosomal RNA, 494 nt
Filed under: uncultured bacterium
Lineage: Bacteria
Description: partial 16S ribosomal RNA
Rfam family: Bacterial small subunit ribosomal RNA
Source: RNAcentral